GCGGAGGAAAAGAAACCAACAGGGAUUGCCCCAGUAACGGCGAGUGAAGCGGCAACAGCUCAAAUUUGAAAUCUGGUCCCCCCGCGGGGCCCGAGUUGUAAUUUGAAGAGGAUGCUUCUGGCAAGGUGCCGUCCGAGUUCCCUGGAACGGGACGCCGCAGAGGGUGAGAGCCCCGUACGGUCGGACGCCGAGCCUCUGUGAAGCUCCUUCGACGAGUCGAGUAGUUUGGGAAUGCUGCUCAAAAUGGGAGGUAAACCCCUUCUAAAGCUAAAUACCGGCCAGAGACCGAUAGCGCACAAGUAGAGUGAUCGAAAGAUGAAAAGCACUUUGAAAAGAGAGUUAAAAAGCACGUGAAAUUGUUGAAAGGGAAGCGCUUGCGACCAGACUCGCGCCCGUCGGAUCAGCCGUCGCUCGUCGGCGGCGCACUCCGGCGGGCUCGGGCCAGCAUCAGUUCGCCUCGGGGGGAGAAAGGCGGCGGGAAUGUGGCUCUACGGAGUGUUAUAGCCCGCCGCG
This 513-nucleotide ribosomal RNA is filed under the name Microascus gracilis. RNAcentral's name for it is "eukaryotic LSU rRNA". It matches the Rfam family "Eukaryotic large subunit ribosomal RNA", at positions 50 to 567 of the family's 3401-position model. Lineage: Eukaryota; Fungi; Ascomycota; Sordariomycetes; Microascales; Microascaceae. The record is from RNAcentral.